This is a non-coding RNA of Malus domestica (apple), 164 nucleotides long. The record is from RefSeq and is a predicted model, not a curated record. NCBI's taxonomy places the organism in Eukaryota, Viridiplantae, Streptophyta, Magnoliopsida, Rosales, Rosaceae.
AUGAUGUCUUGGGCAUUUUCUUUGUUUUUAACACAUGGCCCGUGACACUAGGUUAGUAACCUCCAUUGCACUUUGGGAGAGGGGUGCUCAUCUAAGGUCUGCCCUAGUGCUAGAACCUACGUCAUAAUUUGUUCCUGUGAGGGCCUGCGUGCGCGUGGCCCUUG